RNAcentral lists this transfer RNA (88 nucleotides) under Shewanella benthica. Its description in RNAcentral is "Pseudo tRNA". Lineage: Bacteria; Pseudomonadati; Pseudomonadota; Gammaproteobacteria; Alteromonadales; Shewanellaceae. The record is from RNAcentral.
GGAACGGUAGUUCAGUUGGUUAGGACUAUUUGUAAACAUGGGCGGCCUGUCACGCCCUUGGUCGCGGGUUCGAGUCCCGUUAGCUCAG